CAUGUUGACCCUUCUACAAUCCGAAGAAGCUUGAUCAGGAAUGGUCUUCAUGGAAGGGCAGCAGCCAAGAAACCACUUUUGCAGAAGGGGAACAUGGUGAAAAGGCUUACAUAUGCUAAAGCUCACAAAGAUUGGAAUGAGGAUCAGUGGAAAAGAGUAUUAUGGAGUGAUGAAUCCAAGUUUGAAAUUUUUGGGUCCAAUCGUCAACAAUAUGUGAACAGAAGAGUUGGAGAGAGAUGGACAAAUGAGUGCUUGCAGCCUUCAGUGAAACAUGGUGGAGGGUCUGUCCUGGUUUGGGGCUGCAUUUCUGCCAGUGGUGUUGACGAUAUUGUCCGUAUUUAUUUAUUUAUUUUCUAUCCCGCCUUUAUUAUUUUUAUAAAUGACUCGAGACGGCGAACAUACCUAAUACUCCAAUGCUGAAAAGUACAGAUAGGCUUUAAUUCAUCAUGCCAUUCCUUCUGGAAAGCGCCUGAUUCGGAAUGGUUUCAUUUUUCAGCAUGGUAACGAUCCCAAGCACACUGCUAAUGCAGUGAAAUCAUAUUUAGCGAGAAAAGCAGCUGAUAAAACACUGACAGUCACGGACUGGCCUCCAUGGAGUCCAGACCUGAAUAUUAUGGAGGCAGUAUGGGAUCACCUGGACAGAGAAAGAAAUAAAAGACAACCUACAUCUAAAGAAGAACUCUGGGAAGUGCUGAAAGAAGCCUGGUAUAAUAUACCAGAAGAUUACUUCAGAAAACUUCAGGACAGUCUCCCCAAAAGAGUUCAAGAUGUGCUUAGAGCCAAGGGAAGUCACACUAAAUACUGACUUUUGCCUGAAGAAGCCUUUUUAGAUCGAAAAAUAAUUAUGGAUGGUCAUUAAAAC
Long non-coding RNA from Candoia aspera, 862 nucleotides. RefSeq lists it as uncharacterized. The transcript has 2 exons. The record is from RefSeq and is a predicted model, not a curated record. Lineage: Eukaryota; Metazoa; Chordata; Lepidosauria; Squamata; Candoiidae.